Ictalurus punctatus (channel catfish) is the source of this 3689-nucleotide long non-coding RNA. The record is from Ensembl. Lineage: Eukaryota; Metazoa; Chordata; Actinopteri; Siluriformes; Ictaluridae.
GAUUAGAAUUCAUUUAGCUCUACGCGGGCUCCGGUCAUUUAUUUCUCAGUAGCCUUAACGGAAGACACGAGCAUGACGAAGAAAAGGCGAAGCUGCACCGAGAUGGCAUGGCGUACAUAUUGUGACCUUCCACACAGUGCAAAUAAACUAUGAUCUCAUCACCGGUACUUGAUGGAUACAGACUUUGUCAUGUGCGUGAGCUCAUUUUUAACUCUACUGAAAGUCUGUGCUUGUUUGGGAGAGGUUAUGAAACGGAUUACAAAAACGCACAUACGCAGACUUCUGGCCUGUCCCCUGUUUGAGCAGCUGGCUCAUUCUCUUCGCUACAGAAGGACCGGUACCUGUACUUACAGGGAUUAUGCAAUGGAUAUAAAAUACAAAGAAAUGGUCUCGGCAUGAGUAAUAGCCGUAACCUGCAGGGAGUGACUCAGAUGGAUUUAGUAAAGGAUGAGAUGGGGCAGCAGGGACGUGGCCUCUGGGAGCCUCAUAGGACGUCCCUGGCAUUUUUACAGCGGUUUCAUCAGACAGAAUCUCGUUUUACCCUCCACGCACACACGCACGGCCUAAUUUAUCAAUCUUUUAGUAAGGUUGUAUGUAAGUGUUUUCAUAGGACAAACCAAAAAAAAUACUGCCAGAUUUAUAACCCUGUCAGGAUCGCUCAUCCUUCCAUAAGAUGACAGAAAACGACAAAAUGACAACAACCGUGAAAGAGCGCCUCCGAAGCACGUGUUCCAAGACUUCUACACGCAGAUCCAUUCUUGAAGUCUUCCAGAAAUGCAGCGAUUCCAGCGUCGGUUACUAGUCACCAUUUCUUUUGUCCAAACUGAACACCCAGACUCAUUUCUUAAUUUAUUCAUUCCUUUUAGAUUACUUUCUUUCGAGUCAUUAAAAACGAAACGGCGUUAAAUUCCUAAAUGUGUAGUCUAUGAAUAUACCUAUAUGAUUUGAUGCUUAACAUUUAAUGUCUCAUUAUACACAAAUUUACACAAACUUAGCUCUCGUAUGACGUUAACUUUUUUCCCCUUAACGAGCUGUAUUUUCAUCACAUUUUUAUAUACCCUUGCGAACGAUUUACAAAUAAAUCUGUUCGUAUCCAGCUUGAUAAAUGAGGCUGCUGCCCAAUUAGUCAGUUCAUGCAAACAGCCAGCUCCCAGACUCCACGAGAGCGCCACUGAAAAGCAAUACAUCCAGCCCAAUAAAUCUACUCUUAAAACUUUUGUGUCACACUUUCCAAACAUUAAUGCAGCUCACCAGUGAAACUGAGACUCUGACAAAGGCGGCGGCACAAAGCGGAGUUUUACUGCAUAGCUUAAUACAGACACUGACUGUGUUUACAUGGACAACAAUAAUCUAAUCAUCGACCUUAUUCGGAAUAAGACAAUAUCCUGAUUAAGGUGUUUACAUGAGUCGCUUUGAGAAGAUUCCUUUCAUGUUCCCGUUUUACGUUAUAGAACACAGUUCGAUUAACGGCACACGUCGUUACGUCCCCGCGCCACGCCGUCCGACGUUCCCUCCGGAAUUUCACGUAUCGACAUACAGUUGGUCUUCGUUACGGGACCGUAUACAGUUUUGGUCGUUUCAUUUUUAAUUUUACGGACGCUUCAAGUGCGGUUAAUUAUCUGUCGUGCUGUACGUGCAAACAGACGACCGCUUGAAGCCGUGGGCUGCGUCCCAAACCACGUACGUACCUACUAUAUAGUAUCCAAAAUACAGGUAUCUCACCUACUAUAUAGUAGUUAAGUACGCGGUUUGGGACGCAGCCGUGCUCUCUCGUUCGCCGUCAAACGGUCGAGCGCCGCCGUGUGUGUACGUGUCCUGUCGCAAACUGCGGUGAAAACUCCCACACGACGCUGAUAGCGUGAUUAAGGUUUGUACGUGUCUGUAACGCACGUCGAUAAUGCGACUAAAGCAGGAAAACUCCACGUCUUAAUUCCAUCUGUUUACACGUCGAGUAUGACUUUAAUCGGAUUAAGGUCAUUAAUAAAUCACUGUAUACAUGCUAGUUUCUUAAUCAGAGUAUCGCCUUGAUAUCGGAUUAUUGUCGUCCAUGUAAACGUACCGAUUGUUAAUAUCACCGCCAAGCCACCUGCUCAAAUUAAUCUGCAAUUCAUCCAGUCAAAGUGUGUAAUAACGUACUACAGAACUCAACCCCAGUGAUUGAUGAAAAAAAAAUCCCAUUAAAUAAUUCUCAUAAAAACUUACCAAAGAUGAAAGCAAAAAGGCAGAAUUACAUGCGUUAGAAUUCUAAAAAAAUAUCAUAUAGAUUUAAUACAUGGACAAGCUGUGACAUGCUUCCACAGACUACACAUUUGCAGUGUUACCCAGCAGCACUCCUUCCACCCAAUAAAGCACUGAAAUAAAAGUGAAAAUCACAGAGAGCCUCUUUAUCGGCAUUCUUCCAGCGCACAUUGUAUUAUGUUAUAUUGUUCUCUUCCUUAGCUUCGCAACACAUCCAAGAGCUCACUGCUUUUCCUUUGUAUGUCUCAUGUUUUAACCUGCUAAAUAUUACAACGGUGAUAUUUGGAGCAGAGAGAUACAGGAAGGAAAUCUAUCGCCUUUAAAACUGCUAAAAGAACGUGGUUAGUUACGGUUACUUUUAUAUAGCGCUUUUCAAAGUGAGGGGGGGGUCUCCUCAACCACCACUAGUGUGUAGCCUCCACCUGGAUGAUGCGAGGGCAGCCAUAGUGCACCAGAACGCCCAGAACAAACCAGCUAUUAAUGGAGAGGAGAUUUAUGUAGCCAGUUCAGGGAUGGAGGUUAUCAGUGGGGCAUGAUAGAGAAGGGUGAAUGGGGGAAUUUCGCCAGAACACCAGGGUUAUACCCCUACUGAUAAGUGUCCUGGGAUUUUGAAAGACCACAGAGAGUCAGGACCUCGGUUUAACGUCUCAGACCGUGCUGUUUUUACAGUAUAGCGUCCCCGACACUAGACUAAUGCCACUAUACUAUAUGCAUUAGACCCCACACAGACCACAGGAUGAGCGCCCCUGCUGGCCUCACUAAUACCACUUCCAGCAGCAACCUUGGUUUUCCCCAGGAGGUCUCCCAUCCAGGUACUGUCCAGGCUCAACCCUGCUUAGCUUCAGUGGGACACCAGGCAAGAACUUCAGGGAAGUAGGUCUCUUCCGUGGGUUUAUUAUUUCUGUGCAUCCUACCAUAUAUUAACUGUAUUUACCACUGGUGCUGAAAAUUCAAUAGUCCCUCAGGACGGAACGUAAUAAUAUUAGUGCUGCAAGCUCUCGCUGAAGUAAUUGUCAGAUAUUUACUCCACGCUGAGAAUAGGAAGCAAAUUUAAUUUGACGUUUGCUGCAAAAACGACGCUCAAGAGAAUAAUACACGCGAGUUAGACGCGACCUUCAACUCCGAGCUCCACCUUUAACAAACCAGCCGAUAAUCAAAGUGGCUUUUUCGUGUGCCCUUCAGCUAAAGUCCUCAUCAGUUACCCAAAGCUGACCGAGCACUAUUAUCCCCUUCAGACGGUCGAAACUGAUUAACUGAUGUGUACAGCAUAUACACACACAAUGUUCCGGCCCAUAUACACUGUUAAUGAGCUCUCUCUGAUACUGUUUGAUAGGCUCAAGGCUACAAGGUCAAGCCGGGUUCCAUAGAACAACUAGGAGUGGACAUGAGCCAUAUGCGUGAGUGCAUGCAGGAUGCUCCAAAACAACCACAUAAAUACAACAGUAAUUUUU